CGUAAUGGGGGAGAAGUGGCUUCUAUUUGCCGAGACCAAACGGGCUUAUACCUAGGGUCCUCGGUUGUGUUUUUUCAUGGAACCAAUGACCCUCGUAUCCUGGAUACAUAUGCAUGUCGGGAAGCACUCGCGCUAGCAGAAGACUUAGCUGUGAGAGCCAUCUAUGUCGCAUCUGAUUGCCAAGGAGUGGUGGAUGACAUAAACAAGGGCAACGGAGGUCCAAAUGUAGCGAUCAUACAUGAGAUAAAAAACCAUUGCAAUAGUUUUAUUAAUGUUCUUUUAUUCAUGAGCGUAGGAACUUCAACAUUGAGGCUCAUAAUCCCGCCAAGUUUGCUUGUAACCUAG
RNAcentral lists this ribosomal RNA (345 nucleotides) under Triticum aestivum (bread wheat). Its description in RNAcentral is "partial small subunit ribosomal RNA". Lineage: Eukaryota; Viridiplantae; Streptophyta; Magnoliopsida; Poales; Poaceae. The record is from RNAcentral.